CCGGAGCUAGCAUAUCAAUAAGCGGAGGAAAAGAAACCAACAGGGAUUGCCCCAGUAACGGCGAGUGAAGCGGCAACAGCUCAAAUUUGAAAUCUGGCUUCGGCCCGAGUUGUAAUUUGUAGAGGAUGCUUUUGGUGAGGUGCCUUCUGAGUUCCCUGGAACGGGACGCCAGAGAGGGUGAGAGCCCCGUAUAGUUGGACACCGAGCCUCUGUAAAGCUCCUUCGACGAGUCGAGUAGUUUGGGAAUGCUGCUCAAAAUGGGAGGUAUAUCUCUUCUAAAGCUAAAUACUGGCCAGAGACCGAUAGCGCACAAGUAGAGUGAUCGAAAGAUGAAAAGCACUUUGAAAAGAGGGUUAAAUAGUACGUGAAAUUGUUGAAAGGGAAGCGCUUGUGACCAGACUUGUGCCCGGCUGAUCAUCCAGUGUUCUCACUGGUGCACUCUGCCGGGCUCAGGCCAGCGUCGGUUCUCGCAGGGGGACAAAAGCUUCGGGAACGUAGCUCCUCCGGGAGUGUUAUAGCCCGUUGCUCAAUACCCCUGCGGGGACCGAGGUUCGCGCUCUGCAAGGACGCUGGCAUAAUGGUCAUCAGCGGCCCGUCUUGAAACACGGACCAAGGAGUCGAGGUUUUGCGCGAGUGUUUGGGUGUAAAACCCGCACGCGUAAUGAAAGUGAACGUAGGUGAGAGCUUCGGCGCAUCAUCGACCGAUCCUGAUGUAUUCGGAUGGAUUUGAGUAAGAGCGUAUAGCCUCGGACCCGAAAGAUGGUGAACUAUGCCUGAAUAGGGUGAAGCCAGAGGAAACUCUGGUGGAGGCUCGCAGCGGUUCUGACGUGCAAAUCGAUCGUCAAAUUUGGGCAUGGGGGCGAAAGACUAAUCGAACCAUCUAGUAGCUGGUUACCGCCGAGUCCCCC
This 908-nucleotide ribosomal RNA is filed under the name Coniochaeta marina. RNAcentral describes it as "partial large subunit ribosomal RNA". It matches the Rfam family "Eukaryotic large subunit ribosomal RNA", at positions 28 to 972 of the family's 3401-position model. The record is from RNAcentral. Lineage: Eukaryota; Fungi; Ascomycota; Sordariomycetes; Coniochaetales; Coniochaetaceae.